UCAGGCCUAACACAUGCAAGUCGAACGGCAGCACGGACUUCGGUCUGGUGGCGAGUGGCGAACGGGUGAGUAAUACAUCGGAACGUGCCCAGUCGUGGGGGAUAACGUAGCGAAAGCUACGCUAAUACCGCAUACGAUCUAAGGAUGAAAGCGGGGGAUCGCAAGACCUCGCGCGAUUGGAGCGGCCGAUGGCAGAUUAGGUAGUUGGUGGGGUAAAGGCUCACCAAGCCGACGAUCUGUAGCUGGUCUGAGAGGACGACCAGCCACACUGGACUGAGACACGGCCCAGACUCCUACGGGAGGCAGCAGUGGGGAAUUUUGGACAAUGGGCGCAAGCCUGAUCCAGCCAUUCCGCGUGCAGGAUGAAGGCCCUCGGGUUGUAAACUGAUUGUGUACGGAACGAAAAGGCUCUGGUAAUACCUGG
RNAcentral lists this ribosomal RNA (424 nucleotides) under uncultured bacterium. RNAcentral's name for it is "bacterial SSU rRNA". It matches the Rfam family "Bacterial small subunit ribosomal RNA", at positions 42 to 466 of the family's 1533-position model. The record is from RNAcentral.